Molecule: long non-coding RNA, 3598 nt
Organism: Equus caballus (horse)
Lineage: Eukaryota; Metazoa; Chordata; Mammalia; Perissodactyla; Equidae
Source: Ensembl
AUGUAUGAGACAGAGAAUAUGAAUAUGGAGAAAAACAGCAGAAAAGCAAGAGGAAAAAUGAUGGAUAAAGACAAAAGAGGAAGACCUCAGGGACAGUGGCAUGAAUGUGGCUGGAUAAAGACAGGGAGAAAGGACAGGAAGAAAUGAGGAGCAGGAAGAAGGUUCUGGGAGAGAAAUAACGAGGCCAAGAGAGCUGUGCCAGGAGCUGGUGGAGCGGGCAGAUGGAACAACCGAGACAGAGAACAGAGCCACAGAGGAGUGGGCACGCAGUGAGGCCUGGCAGCCAAGCCCUGUAGGUUUCCGUGGGAAGCAGAUGCUUACAGGGAGCAGCAGCCGAUGGUCCCCAAGCACGUGGAUCCUUGUUGACUCCAGGCCCAGCUCUGCCUCCUCGGCAGCCAGCCUUAGCCUGGAGGAGCAACCCAGGUCCAGAGAGGCAGAUGAAUGACAGCCCUGCCCCUGUCGGGCCCCAUUUCUUCUCCUCCAUUCUCUUCCAGGCUCCACCACCCCCUCACAAGUCCCAAGGAAGCCAUGAGCUGCCACAUCACACCAGGAACGAAGCAGGCUACAUUGGAGGGAUGAGGAAACUGAGGCCAGAUUUGAGUAUCUAUUUAUUGAAGGCGUCACAAGGCAUAUGAGGUUAUGCAAAGACAAAUGAGCAAAAUAACUCCUUAUGAACCCGCCUGAGCUGAGAGCCCAGGCUCCCUGACUCCUGGUGCUGCAAUCCUACAUGACACUGCUUUGCAUCCUCAACUCCAAAGGAGGAGCCUGGGCCAGGGGAAGAAGUUUCCACCAGAGGAUGGUGCUUGAGGAAGGAGUAAAGAAAGGAGCUCUGGGCGAUUCUGUGAUGGAGUAGAUUGUCACCUGGCACGUAUGCAUAUGGGAUGUGCAGCCUGGUCUCUAGUUGAAGAAACAACGGCCCAGAGACUCACCAAACUCACAGAACAGAAAGUGGGCAGGAUUCUACCUCGGGCAGCCAAGAGCAGAGCCCACACCACAACCAAGGCCGAGGCGGAUGUCCCAGCCCACACAGGGCACAAAAGGAAGGAGGAAGAGGAAGCCACGUCCCAGAGCUACCCCACAGGAGGGCGCCCCAAGUGGAGAGGCGUGGUGGCCUGAGCACCCACCUUCUAGAGAUCUCACUAUAAUCCUGGACGUGUGACACUUUCCUAGGCCCACAGCCCAGGAGCCACUGCCUCAGACUUGCUUUGAAGUUUUAGACCCCCACCCUCGAGUGGAUGGAGGCAGAGGCCCUGAAAGAAGGAAGGACUCCUCGAGGCCCCUCGGCGGACAAGUCACAGAGCAAAGAUGCCCGCUCUGGGCUCCGGAUGUCCAGCAGCCGUCUGCAACUUUGAAGUGAUUGGAGUUCCUGUGGCUGCUGUGGGCAGACGGAGGGACUCCAGAAGCCCCGGCAGACUUGAUCAGUGCAGAGCCUGAGUCUCCUUGCAACCCCAACCCCCCUCCACCUUUGAAUGAGCUCUGAAGAAAAGUGAAAGGGAGUGGGGAGAAACCCAAGCCAUCACCCUGUCAGCAGGGGAGCAUGUGAUGCGUCCUGACUUGUGCUCACUGCUGAGGAAGACACUAGAAGGUGUCAUUCCUACCCUCCCAAAUAUUGCAAUCUAAUUGGGAGGGCAAGAUGAAUAGGCAGAGGACAACAAAAGAUAAGUGAAGAGGCCCAGUGUAGGACCAGGAGCACUGGAUAAGAGUUCUAUUCCAGUGCCUUGGGGUCUGAAGCAGGUCCCCACACCUAGAAAAGCCCAGCUACCUCAUCCAUAUAGAUUUCUUCUAGUUGUCUGGAUGAUGGAUGGCAGUAGCACUUCUGAUGGAUUGGUGCUGCCUGCCCGAAGCACUGUGUUGAAAAGGAUUCUGAGGCAGCAUUCAGGCUCAGCAAAAGGGCUCUGGUUAAUUAGUGGUCUUCUGAUGAAUGCUAAAGGAUGCUGCGGCACUAUCAUUGCUAUUAUUAACCAUUCCUGAUUAAGAGCAACUGCCUGGGGUCAUUUGUAAGGAUUCUCCCAGCUCUCAAAUCUAUGCUUCUGUGAUUUAAAUGUUAAAUUUCAAGGCACUGGUUGGAAGCUCAAUCAGAAGAGGAAGAGAUGUGUGUGGGUUCGGAUCAUCAGGGAAGACUUUGGGAAGGAGGCGGCACUUGAGCUGGGCCUCCAAGUGGGGGAGUGUGAGGAGCUGAACAGGAGGUUGGCUCCUGCGUCAGACAGGACACUCCGGGCUGCAUCCUCUGCCUGGAGAGUGAGGCCACAAGAGAGCAGAGACGGGGCUCUGCCUGCCCACAGCACUGGAGAGGACUCACCGCCAGCCGUGCCCUGGAGCUUCCCUGCUGCUCAGGCUCGCACAGAUGUGGGAGUCUAGGGUGCUGUGGGGCCCUGGCUUUGUCCACACCACCCCUAUCUGAUGUUGGACUAAGAGGAGAGAGUGGAACACCCCCAGAGGCACUGAGGCAUUCCCAUGGGGUUCAUAAAGAUAACCCAAACCUUUUUCCAGUGGGAAUAAAUGUCCGUGGCCUUUAGCCCUCAAAGUGCUACUUCCUAAGGGGAGGCCCAGUCACACGUCCCAGCAGUUAGGAGGGCUGGAACCGGUAAGUGCCUCUGCAGAAAGAGCAGCAGCCAUCUGACCCAUCGUACUCUGUUCGUCUAUAGAGUGAAGGCCUCAUUACAUAAAGUCCCAGCUGACUUCAUAUAAGCUAUGACUAAGAAAACUUUCCAGAGACAGUUGGUGGUCCUCCGUCCCCCGCAGACUGGUGAGAACUACCCCCACAGGGAGGGAGCAGAGAUUAAGGCUCCUAGCCCCAUGGCCCUGAGUCAUCUCGCACAAACACUCCCCAACACUCUCCCAAAAUGGUUCCUCCCACCCGUUCACCCUCCUACCCGGGCUGGGUGACAGAAAUGAACACCCCGGAGAUCGUGCCUAGUUCUGGGCAGGCUGAGCCCAGAGAACAUGAAAUUCCCCAUAGAAUGAGGAGGCCAGACCCCCCCCACAGAAGCAAAUAAGGUCCAUUCAAAGGAAAGUCGCUACCUGACCCCACCAUAAUCACUGUAUUGUUUCUCAAAAGAGCUCAAAGCUCUGUAAUCAUAAAAUAUUAGAGCUUAAAGCAAGCUUAAAGAUUAUUCUAACCCCAUCUCUCCUUCCCUAUUUCCAGGAAUCUGCCCAUCCAAGCAUUUAUCUAUCUAUUUACUCAUUAAGCAGUUAAUUGGGUCCUACGAUUUGCCAUGUGCAUGCAGGCAAUGGGGACCAACAGACGUGGUCUUUUCUCAAGAGCUCAUCAUCCAGUGCGUGAGGAAGGCAAAUGUCAUGUAGUGCCAUAAGUACUAUGACAUGAAGAAUGCAUGUCCUAGAAGCUCUUAAAAUACUGGGACACUGUGCACAGAACUCCCUUCAAACAGGCAAGCGCAGAGCAAACAGCUAAGCAUUUAAAGCCAGCAUUUGGCAAUUAAAGGGCUGGGCGGGUGGCGGGUAAGGAAUUGUAAUAGUAAGAGCCGGCCACAAGGUGGCGCCUGAGGCUGGCGGAAGGGUUCGUCCAGGCUGGAAACGGACCCCAAACUCCCGCCCCAGCGAGGCAGGGACUCAGGCAGGACCGCCCCCUCCUGGGAGG